ACGAACGCUGGCGGCGUGCCUAAUACAUGCCAGUCGAACGCUUCUUUCCUCCCGAGUGCUUGCACUCAAUUGGAAAGAGGAGUGGCGGACGGGUGAGUAACACGUGGGUAACCUACCCAUCAGAGGGGGAUAACACUUGGAAACAGGUGCUAAUACCGCAUAACAGUUUAUGCCGCAUGGCAUAAGAGUGAAAGGCGCUUUCGGGUGUCGCUGAUGGAUGGACCCGCGGUGCAUUAGCUAGUUGGUGAGGUAACGGCUCACCAAGGCCACGAUGCAUAGCCGACCUGAGAGGGUGAUCGGCCACACUGGGACUGAGACACGGCCCAGACUCCUACGGGAGGCAGCAGUAGGGAAUCUUCGGCAAUGGACGAAAGUCUGACCGAGCAACGCCGCGUGAGUGAAGAAGGUUUUCGGAUCGUAAAACUCUGUUGUUAGAGAAGAACAAGGACGUUAGUAACUGAACGUCCCCUGACGGUAUCUAACCAGAAAGCCACGGCUAACUACGUG
RNAcentral lists this ribosomal RNA (507 nucleotides) under uncultured bacterium. RNAcentral's name for it is "partial 16S ribosomal RNA". It matches the Rfam family "Bacterial small subunit ribosomal RNA", at positions 29 to 507 of the family's 1533-position model. The record is from RNAcentral.